RNAcentral lists this long non-coding RNA (486 nucleotides) under Gallus gallus (chicken). RNAcentral's name for it is "long non-coding RNA NONGGAT004127". The record is from RNAcentral. Lineage: Eukaryota; Metazoa; Chordata; Aves; Galliformes; Phasianidae.
CUGGAAUGUUGCAUGGACACGGUGUCUGAGGAGUCAGAGCUCACCAUUCCUACACAUAGGGCCGGAGGAACAACGGCCAUCCGUGCAAGGUACAGUUACCCACCUGCACUGAGUAGUCUGAGUAGGCAGGCAGGGGCUGGUUGUGCUGCCCUUGCGCUGGCCAGGAUCGCACAUCUCUGCCUUGAAGAUGGUUGCUCAACCUCCGUGGAGUCUGUAAGUCACCUUGGGGAGAGGAGAAGGAUGAGCACUUGGCGCCUGGGGCCUGGCUGUUAGGCUGUGCUUCCCUUGCGCGGUGCAGGGCUGCCUGGCCACGUUCUUGCAGCAAAUGGAGGAAGUGGUGCUGGCAGCAGCCCUCGUGCUGGAUCUCCUUGCACUGGGGGGCUGGAUGCAGGUCGCAUACAGCUCCAAGGCGGAGACAACAGGAAAAAUCCAUAUUUGUGGGCUAUCGGUGAAGCGAGACAAACUUUCCAGAGCACUUCACUGUGG